AGCCCAAUGAAAUGCCUGCUUGUGUGUUACCAUUUUACCACCCAUUCAGGCAGUGACAGGCUUUUGCAGCCUGAAUGUGUCAAACGUUCAGGAGGGAUGGGGGAGGUUGGUUUGUUUUGGCAAGCACAACCCAAAACUUGUUCAGAAUUUGGUGCUUGAGAAUGUGUCUGCCUUGGCUGAUAUUUCUGUUCUGGUUGUCUUUCAGCGUGCUUGUAGAUGACCUGCAGCUCAGUGACAGUGAGGAGAGCGAUGACAACCAAGUUGUUGAAAGGCCACCUUCUCCCCUUGCUCCUCCAAGAUACAGUUUCAGCGUGCUCCUGGAUGACCUGCAGCUCAGUGACAGUGAGGAGAGUGAUGACAACCAAGUUGUUGAAAAGCCUCCUUCUGCAUUUGUUUCUCCAAGAGACAGCGUGCUCAUAGACGACCUGCAGCUCAGUGACAGUGAGGAGAGCGAUAACAACCAAGUUGUUGAAAAGCCUCCUUCUCCGCUUGGUGGUCCAAGGUCUUUGCAAUCCAGCAGCUCAGAGUCAGGGAGCACCAGUGACUCUGAGAGCUCUUCAGACUCUGAGACCAGUGACUCUGAGAGCUCCUCAUCCCCGGAGACAAGCGACUCAGAGAGCUCCUUGGGCUCAGAGACCCACCACACUGGGGGUGUCAAAAGGCCUGGCAAGCCCCUGGUGGACAACAGGGCCAAGAGAUGCCGGAAGGAGGACAGCAACCCUGAUCCAUUGGAGAUCAGAGCCCAGUCUUCCAGGGACAAACAGAGGGUCAAAAAAAGAGCAAAGCCGGAAUCUACUUACAGAAAAGACCUGAAGCCGGCCCUCCAAGAGCCCCUUGAGAACAGAAAGGGCUCCCAGCAGGCUGAAGUGAAACAGCCCUUUGCUCUUGGGGUGAAGAAGUUGCUCUCGCCAGUGAGAGACCCCGCAGCUCCUGAGCCUGUCCGGGUGAAAGAAGAGCACCAGAGAAGAGCAGAGACCAAGGACCUCCCUCGUGCAAGGAAGCGGGACUUGAAGAGGAGAGCCAUGGACAGUCCUGAUGAACCCAGUGGGAAGAAAAAGAGGGGAGAGAUAUGAAGAUUAAAGGUAGUCUUCAGUAAGCUAAGACUGCAAUAAAGUGAACACUCCUGAGUUUGCUUCUAACAUAGGAUGCCUUCUGAAACUUAAUCUGCUGGAGAUUUGCCUUUCCAUCCUGGAAGUAACCACUCCAGAAAAGAGCUUUGUAGGUAUAUAUGGAGGUCUUUGCCGAAGUCAUCAGAGAGACCUGUGCUCUGGUAUUGACCAGGAGCCUGACAGACCUGUCACAUUCCACCAGGCAGGCAGUACAAUGACUAAGACUGGAAGAAAACAUGCCGGAAUUGUUUCUCCAGGAUGUCAAAUACCUUCCAGUUUUCUGUCAUUUUGAAGCCUUAGGAACUUAGGAAGUUAGUUUAGUUAUUUUUUGAAUUGUUCAAUAAAACACCUGCAAGGAAAAAUAGAAAGAGCUUAGUUAUUUUUUUUGAAUUUUUGAAAAAAGUACCUACAAA
Lepidothrix coronata (blue-crowned manakin) is the source of this 1522-nucleotide RNA transcript. It is a transcript of the gene named AF4/FMR2 family member 1-like, with no coding region annotated. NCBI's taxonomy places the organism in Eukaryota, Metazoa, Chordata, Aves, Passeriformes, Pipridae. The transcript is spliced from 9 exons. The record is from RefSeq and is a predicted model, not a curated record.